This is a long non-coding RNA of Lycium ferocissimum, 319 nucleotides long. RefSeq lists it as uncharacterized. Lineage: Eukaryota; Viridiplantae; Streptophyta; Magnoliopsida; Solanales; Solanaceae. The record is from RefSeq and is a predicted model, not a curated record. The transcript is spliced from 2 exons.
CCCCAUUAUCCUCUAGGAUUAGGGUUAGGGUUAGGGUUUUUCCCGAAAAGGGUAGCGCACAUUCACUUUCUCUGUCACCAUGAGAGCUAAGUGGAAGAAGAAGAGAAUGAGGAGGUUAAAGAGGAAGCGCCGAAAGAUGAGACAGAGAUCCAAGUAGUCAUAUUUUUCGACUUGUUCGUGGCCUUUUAUUACUUUUGUUCUAGGGUUUUGGAUCUUAUAUUGUCCUUAAAUUUGUCAGUUAUUGAUGAAAAACUUGAGUUUGUUGAUCACUUUCUUUUGAUGAUACAUUUUGAAGUUUUUAUCGGAGUUCAUUUUGAUA